AGCCAGACUCCUACGGGAGGCAGCAGUGGGGAAUAUUGGACAAUGGGGGAAACCCUGAUCCAGCGACGCCGCGUGAGUGAAGAAGUAUUUCGGUACGUAAAGCUCUAUCAGCAGGAAAGAAAAUGACGGUACCUGACUAAGAAGCCCCGGCUAACUACGUGCCAGCAGCCGCGGUAAUACGUAGGGGGCAAGCGUUAUCCGGAUUUACUGGGUGUAAAGGGAGCGUAGACGGCAGCGCAAGUCUGGAGUGAAAUGCCGGGGCCCAACCCCCGGACUGCUCUGGAAACUGUAUGGCUGGAGUGCAGGAGAGGUAAGCGGAAUUCCUAGUGUAGCGGUGAAAUGCGUAGAUAUUAGGAGGAACACCAGUGGCGAAGGCGGCUUACUGGACUGUAACUGACGUUGAGGCUCGAAAGCGUGGGGAGCAAACAGGAU
Molecule: ribosomal RNA, 432 nt
Filed under: uncultured bacterium
Lineage: Bacteria
Description: bacterial SSU rRNA
Rfam family: Bacterial small subunit ribosomal RNA
Source: RNAcentral